GGCCGUGUGGCGAAAUGGCAUCGCGUCUGACUACGAUGAACCAAGAACCUUUAACCGGUUAAGUAAUCAGGAGAUUGCAGGUUCGACCCCUGUCUCGGUCA
Lyophyllum atratum is the source of this 101-nucleotide non-coding RNA. The record is from the annotation of a GenBank genome assembly. NCBI's taxonomy places the organism in Eukaryota, Fungi, Basidiomycota, Agaricomycetes, Agaricales, Lyophyllaceae.